AGUGAACGCUGGCGGUAGGCCUAACACAUGCAAGUCGAACGGCAGCACAGUAAGAUCUUGCUCUUACGGGUGGCGAGUGGCGGACGGGUGAGGAAUACAUCGGAAUCUACUUUUUCGUGGGGGAUAACGUAGGGAAACUUACGCUAAUACCGCAUACGACCUACGGGUGAAAGCAGGGGAUCUUCGGACCUUGCGCGAUUGAAUGAGCCGAUGUCGGAUUAGCUAGUUGGCGGGGUAAAGGCCCACCAAGUCGACGAUCCGUAGCUGGUCUGAGAGGAUGGUAAGCCACACUGGAACUGAGACACGGUCCAGACUCCUACGGGAGGCAGCAGUGGGGAAUAUUGGACAAUGGGCGCAAGCCUGAUCCAGCCAUACCGCGUGGGUGAAGAAGGCCUUCGGGUUGUAAAGCCCUUUUGUUGGGAAAGAAAAGCAGCAGGUUAAUACCCCGCUGUUCUGACGGUACCCAAAGAAUAAGCACCGGCUAACUUCGUG
This 492-nucleotide ribosomal RNA is filed under the name uncultured bacterium. RNAcentral describes it as "partial 16S ribosomal RNA". It matches the Rfam family "Bacterial small subunit ribosomal RNA", at positions 29 to 507 of the family's 1533-position model. The record is from RNAcentral.